This 608-nucleotide ribosomal RNA is filed under the name Lacticaseibacillus rhamnosus. Its description in RNAcentral is "bacterial SSU rRNA". It matches the Rfam family "Bacterial small subunit ribosomal RNA", at positions 404 to 1003 of the family's 1533-position model. The record is from RNAcentral. Lineage: Bacteria; Bacillati; Bacillota; Bacilli; Lactobacillales; Lactobacillaceae.
AGUGAAGAAGGCUUUCGGGUCGUAAAACUCUGUUGUUGGAGAAGAAUGGUCGGCAGAGUAACUGUUGUCGGCGUGACGGUAUCCAACCAGAAAGCCACGGCUAACUACGUGCCAGCAGCCGCGGUAAUACGUAGGUGGCAAGCGUUAUCCGGAUUUAUUGGGCGUAAAGCGAGCGCAGGCGGUUUUUUAAGUCUGAUGUGAAAGCCCUCGGCUUAACCGAGGAAGUGCAUCGGAAACUGGGAAACUUGAGUGCAGAAGAGGACAGUGGAACUCCAUGUGUAGCGGUGAAAUGCGUAGAUAUAUGGAAGAACACCAGUGGCGAAGGCGGCUGUCUGGUCUGUAACUGACGCUGAGGCUCGAAAGCAUGGGUAGCGAACAGGAUUAGAUACCCUGGUAGUCCAUGCCGUAAACGAUGAAUGCUAGGUGUUGGAGGGUUUCCGCCCUUCAGUGCCGCAGCUAACGCAUUAAGCAUUCCGCCUGGGGAGUACGACCGCAAGGUUGAAACUCAAAGGAAUUGACGGGGGCCCGCACAAGCGGUGGAGCAUGUGGUUUAAUUCGAAGCAACGCGAAGAACCUUACCAGGUCUUGACAUCUUUUGAUCACCUGAG